GCGGAGACGGUUGGAGGAGGAGAAGUUCAAAUAUGGCGGAGGUCCAGCCGGACAGAGAGCGACUGCGAGCUGCUGUCCAACUGGGACCGACAGAGGCUCAGAGCAAAAGGAAGACCUCACACCUCCCGUCAGGAUCAGGUGAGGAUGGAGGUAACCACGCAAGAGACGUGACUGAAGACAAAGGUUCAGCAAAAGGAGAGCGCAGUCUGGUCAAAAGAGUAGGCGUCUCACUUGGUGAAAACAAGACCUGAAAACAUCUAAACAAGGUCCCAAAUUGGAUGACACUGCGAGUCACCCUUACCCUAAUCGUAGAGUUGUGAUAUUUCAUGCUGAGUUCUGUCAGAAACAGAGCAGAAGACAUCGAGGGCACCAUUGAGAUACAUCAGGAGCAUGAUCUGCAUGCAGAGUAAAUUCUUCUUCCCAGAAGAGAGUGUGUCAACGAUCUAACACAUAUAAGAACAUAGGAA
Molecule: long non-coding RNA, 467 nt
Organism: Callorhinchus milii (elephant shark)
Lineage: Eukaryota; Metazoa; Chordata; Chondrichthyes; Chimaeriformes; Callorhinchidae
Exons: 3
Source: RefSeq, a predicted model, not a curated record